UAAUAGUGUAUAUUAAAGUUGUUGCAGUUAAAAAGCUCGUAGUUGAAUGUUGGUGUCGAACGAGCGGUCAGCUUCGGCUGUACUGCUCUCUCGACUCCUUCCUUCUGUGGACUACGUCGCACUUUACUGUGUGGCGCUAGGACGCAGAUCGUUUACUGUGAAAAAAUUAGAGUGUUCAAAGCAGGCCGUACGCUUGAAUACAUUAGCAUGGAAUAAUGGAAUAGGACGUCGGGCCUAUUUUGUUGGUUCUAGGACCGUCGUAAUGAUUAAUAGGGACAGUUGGGGCCGUUUAUAUUCCGUAGUCAGAGGUGAAAUUCUUGGAUUUACGGAAGAUAAACUACUGCGAAAGCAUUCGGCAAGGAUGUUUUCGUUAAC
Molecule: ribosomal RNA, 375 nt
Filed under: uncultured eukaryote
Lineage: Eukaryota
Description: partial 18S ribosomal RNA
Rfam family: Eukaryotic small subunit ribosomal RNA
Source: RNAcentral